Hordeum vulgare subsp. vulgare (domesticated barley) is the source of this 100-nucleotide non-coding RNA. The record is from Rfam. Lineage: Eukaryota; Viridiplantae; Streptophyta; Magnoliopsida; Poales; Poaceae.
CGGUCACUAUGAUGUUGGCUCGACUCACUCAGACCACGCCGGAGGGAGCCAUCUGCGGCGGCGGUUCUGAUUGAGCCGUGCCAAUAUCUUAGUGCUCUUU